GGAAACCAAAAAAGCAGCUUCCGAGAACAAAUUCCUCUCCUCCCAUGGCGGCUACCUCUGUUGAUUCACCAUCUCCACCAGGAUCAGAUUGUUCGAUUCAACCAGCAAAGUCACUCGAGUAAAGUCUUGACGCAGCAGAUGACGUAGAACAAAUGAAAGGGCCUGGAUCUCCGCCUGCAGUGGCGAGGUUGCAGCUACGCUUUUGGAGAAACCAUCUGUAAGUCGUCCAUGGUGAUCUCUACAAACGCAAGCUAUAUUACCUUCCCUACUUCCUGGUUGAUGAGAACCAUCAAUAUUCACCUUUAGAACCCCCAGAUCUGGUGGUCGCCAAAGUGAUCCCCUGUUUUGAUGCGAUCUGCCCUUGCAGGUCAAUGAUAAAGCAGACACCCGAACCACAUGGAAAUGAGUGAGCACUGCCUCAACGACCUGAUUCAGAUCAAGAGGAGCACGCCUGAAGAUGAAUCCAUUCCGAGCACACCAGAUCUGCCAAAGAACAUUGGCGAUCUUCACUAGACCAGGUAAGUUGUUCUGUUGUCUAACUUUAUCCAUGAUCCAUGUAUCAAUACGCUGGAUGCCAUGAGGUGAGAUGUGAAUAUUGAUUUGGGGAUGUGACCACACACGAUUAGUCCAUGUACAAAGCAUGAACAAAUGUUCUAGGGUUUCUGGUGUCUUCUGAUUGCAUAGGGUACAUCAUGGGUUGUCUAUGAUAUGUCUAUGAUGUAGAUUGGCUCUAGUCGCUAAAGCAUUAUUAUAUAAUAACCACAAGAAAGUACGAAUCUUUGGGGCAGUUGGCAUUUUCCAUAAUUUCCGCCAUAACCAGGUAGGGUUCUAAUAUGAUGUAGAAGCUGUUCUGUUGCUAUGAGUAAUUGCUGUCUAUGUAAUUGCAUGAUAUGCAGAUUUGACCGUAACACCAUGAUUGGUAGCAGUCCAUAUAAUUUCAUCCUUGGCAAAAUUAGGUCUUACCAGAAUACUAAUGAUCUGAUCUAUCACCUUCGAGUCAAAAAAUCUAUUGAGCAGAUUGCACUUCCAGGUGUUGGUGGUAUGAUCAAUGAGAUCAUCUACCAUAUGAGGUUCUUCUCGGACUUUUGGUCCACCUAGUAUUCCGAUAGGUAGCCACCUAUCCUCGCGUAUGUUGAUUGAUCGCCCAUCUCCUACUGACCAACAUACAGAGGGUAAAAUCGCAUCCCUUCCACUCAAAAGACUUUGCCAGCCCCAAGAUGGGCGAGAGCCUUUUUUCUGCAGUGCAGAAAUUUGAUGAAUGGAAAUAGAGUCCUUUAAAAACUUUAGCCCAUAAGGAUAAAGGGUGAUGGAAUAGACGCCAUGCUUGUUUGCCAAGCAUGGCUUUAUUGAAGCUUAUUAAAUCUCGAAAACCUAAGCCACCAGCAUCCUUUCUUUGUUUCAGUGCUUCCCAAUUUUGCCAAUGAAUCCCUGCUUUUCUUGUGUCAUUCUGCCACCAGAAUCUUGCAAUUCGCUUUUCAAUAGAUUUGCAGAUAGAUACGGGUAAUUUAAAUAUAGACAUAGCAUAUUGUGGUAUAGCUUGUACCACCGUCUUAAGAAGAAUCUCUUUCCCGCCUUUUGAAAUAAGAUUUUCCUUCCAACCUUCCAAUUUUGCGUGAACUCUACCCAUAAUCCAUGAAAACAUAUCCCUUUUCAAAUGCCCCCAGUCAAAUGGUAUUCCUAAAUAUUUACUACAUCUUUGCAAUACUGGUACCCUUAACUCCCUAGCCAUAUUCUCCUGUAAAGUAGCAGGGCAAGUUUUGCUGAAAUAAAUACCAGAUUUGUUGCGAUUAACAGCUUGACCCGUCACUAAGCAGUACUGAUGCAAUAGAUUGGAUAGAUUCUGACAUUCAUUAAUCGUACCAUCAAGAAAGAAGAUUGCAUUGUCUGCGAAAAACAAUGUGAAAUAACAGGACACCAUCUAUUUAAUUUGAUACCUUUUGAGAACACCCAUGUCAACUGUGUUGUUAAUAAGAUAAGAUAAUAGAUUCUCCAUAAGGAUAAAAAGAUAUGGGGAUAGAGGAUCACCCUGUCGAAGGCCCCUGGUAGGAUGAAAAUACUGCAAAUACUCACCAUUCAUUUUGACACAAGAGGAUGUUGUUGUGAUACACUACAUUACCAAUCUGAUCCAACUGGAAUGGAAUCCUAGUUUGUGUAGAUAAUCAUUGAGAAAAUCUCAUUCCACUCUAUCAUACGCCUUCUGCAUAUCCAUCUUAAGUACAACUUGAAAAUGCCGCUUCCUGUUCUUUGACUUUAGCUAAUGAAGAACCUCCUGGACUAGUAAUAUAUUGUCCUGUAUCUAUCGGCCACUCACAAAAGGGCAUUGCUCCUCCGAAAUCAGAGUUGGUAGCAUAUGUUUUAAGCGAUUAGCAAGCACCUUUGAAAUGAUCUUGUAGGCAUAGUUGCACAAGCUGAUGGGGCGAUACUGAUCCAAACAUUCAGGGUUAUGGAUUUUAGGAAUCAAGGCAAUAACAGUCCUAUUUAAUGCGGAAGGUAAGAAACCUGAAGUAAAAAAAUUCUGAACUGCCUUGAAAAGAUCAUCUUUAAUAAUGUCCCAAUGUGUCUGAUAAAAUAAACCAUUCAGCCCAUUCGGACCUGGAGCUUUGGUGGCUCCUAACUAAAAGGUAGCUUGUUUAACUUCUGAAUACAUCACCCCUGCUAUUAAGACACCAUUCAUUUCUAGCGUGACCAUAGUAGGGCAUUGAUCUAAUACAAGUCCAUAACUGCGACUGCCCGUUGUGGUAUAUAACUUCGAAAAAAAAAAUUACAUGCCAUCUCUUUUAACUUUGUGGGAUCCCUAACCUAGGAGAAACUUGAAAGGGACUAAAUGAGCAUCUAAUAUCCAAAAGCUGAAUUGUGACCCUGACUUAGGAUGACAAAGUGCCAACUUGGGGUUUCUUGUCUCUCCGAAAGUUUUGAUAACCCAUGUUACCCAUUUGAAGAUAGGAUAGUCUCUAAGUCAAAUUCAUAGGGGUUGCUAUCAUAGGACUUAAUAGUAAGGCCAUGUUAUAUUUUUUGUCCGACUUGUAUUGGGUUAUUUUAUCGCACUUUACUCUUUACUCAUUCUUUCAUUACUACCUUUGAUUAAUUGUUUGUGAUUCUUAUGUUACUUUCAUAUGGCGUGAUUUGCUUUACUUUAAUGGAAUGGUUAGGUUAGACCUUAAUAAAUAUAAAAACAUUGUAUGAACACUUAACGGACAAAAAACUUAGGAUUCAUAAUUUGAUAAAAAGACGACGUGGAUACCUUAGCUAACAAAUAAUCAAGUUUAGGUAGCAAAAUGGCACCGGUUAGAUAACUAAUGUAAUCAACCCCUCGACUCUAGAUUUUUGAUUGCAUAGGAAGUGAGGUAUACUUCCUACCACGCUUAAUUUACCCAAUAGACUUGUGGCGACUCCUCAUACAGAAUCCUCAUAGGGUUCAAAUUAAAAUGAUAAUCUUAAUGUUGCAUGAGAUAAGGGUUUGAGAGAAUUUACGCCAAUUGAGGACCAUUAGCCCUCAACUUGACAUUACUUUUAAAUCCAUAUUUAAGCUAACCUAAAACUUGAAAAUUAAAAUUUUAAUUGGGUCUAAAAUUGAUACUAGAGCGUGACUUUUUUUUAUCACCAGUUACAAGUUAAUUGGAUGAUCGGAGCAGCACAUUGACUUUAGUUGGAAAGCCCUCGUUGCAAAGUGAAGUAUGCCGCUUAAUUACAGCUAUGGCCAUGUUUUUAAGUGGGUGAAUAGAGCGAUCCUUCAUUCCUGUUCUCAAUUUUUGUUUAAUCUUUGUUUGUAAUCUUUACAUUCAAUCUGUUAUGCCAUCCUAGAUCCAUGAUAAGUUAUCCACUAUGUUGAUAUAUUCGAGUUUAUCCCAACCUAGAUGUAUCAUUAGAUACUGAAUAGUAUAACAUAAUUUGAUUUUAUUUAUUCGGCAAAAAAUAAAUUAUUUGAAAAUGAUUGUUUAUAUUGUUCAUAAAAAUGAACGAAUAAUUUUUUUUUUCAUUGUCUACAAAAAUUUUCAGAAAUAAAUUGUCAUCAAUAAUGAAAUUUUUUUUAUUGGAUAAUUAUUUUAAGUAAUAAGCAAUUAUUUUAAGAGAAAUGUUUUCUAAAUCAUUAAUUUUCCAUAAAAUGAAUAGAGUCUAAGGCUCCAUUUGUUUUGCGAAAAAUAUGACAUUUUUGAAAAACGCUUUUCAAAAAGCCAUUUUUCUAGAAAAUGAUAAUAUUUUUCAGUGCUCGACUAAAACACAAAAAUGAGAUUUUCCUUUGUGCACUCCUUUUAAUAUUUUUUAUUUUUAUUUUUAUUGUAGAAAAUCGAAUUUUUAAUUAUUUUAUUCUUUAUUUUAUUUUAUCUUAUAUUUUCUUUUUUUCUUUAUCUUUUUUUCUUCUUCUUUGGCCAAUUGCCAACCAUGGUCACGGUCAAUGACUAGCCUCAAGUAAGCUUGAGCUUGUUGGAGGUUAACUGGCUAGAGCCUUGCUUGAUCGGCAAGGCUCAAGCCUUGCCUGAUUGACAAGCUUGUCCCUUGCUUGGGGUUGGUCCCCAGUUGUUGCUUUGGGUCCACGAUCGGUUGAGGAAGAAGCAAAAAUAAAAAGAAAGAAACAAAAAAUAAUAAUUAAAAUAAAAAAUAAAAAAUUUGAGUUUAAAAAAUAAAAAAAAUUAUUACUAAUAUAAAUUUUUAUAAUAAAAUAAUUGAAAAUUCCAUUUAAAAAUAUAUAUAUAUAUAUAUUUUAAAAACAAAUGUUUCAUUAAUCAAUGACUUGAGCUCAAGUGCUGACAACUCACACACAACUUUUGUGGACCCGAGCCUGAGUAUUGGGGACUAGAGCUCGAGCAUCGAGGCCCGAGCUUGACUUUUAUGGACCCAGGCUUCAUUGCCAAGGCAUAGGGUAUGGGCACUAGUGGUUUGGGCUCAACCUCAAUGGACCUAGGCAUAGGCACGAGGGGCCCGAGCCUAGGGAUUGAAGUCCAAUCUUGAUGGACUAGUGCUCGUGCGUCAGACACUCGGUCCUAGCCUUGAUGGACCCAGACCGAGCAUUGGAGACUUGGGAAUUAGAGUUAUUAGAGUUCCUGUGUUUAAACGUAGAGUUUCAAGUCCAAGCAUCGAUACUCAAUCAUAUUUUGGAAAAUGUCUUGCGGCUUUUUGAAAGAGGAAAUUGUUAUGCUAAAACUAUGUUUAGCUUUUGUUGAUCAAGAAAACGUUUUCCAUUGAUUUAUUUUCCUAAGCGAAACAAAUGCCGGAAAAUGAAAAAUGUUUUUUCCAGAAAAGAUUUGCUGCGAAUCGUAAGGAAACUAAGUUCGAACCGUCAGUCGUUCCUCCAUUGUUUGGAUCUAGUUCGCCUCGUCAAAAGCCAAGCUCCAGUAACUCGUAAGCCGAGCUCGACUGACUUAUGAACAAGAUUAACUCGUUUCCACCGAAUUCUUUUUACUUCCCUAGUACAAGGCCGAAACUCAUCCAAAUCAACAAAUUGGGCCUAUGGGGCGGGUUCUGUUCCGUUACUCUAACCCAUGUAACCAUCUAAGAAGCAAGAUAUCAAUUUACGGCUUUGAAUCUCCAUUAUCAAAUGGGAAACAACGAUAAAAUGUACAGCCUACUCCAUAAACAUUGAAAUGGAACGAAUUGCAAUCUUUAUGAAUUUGAAUGAUUUUAUCCAUCUACAGAUGUUUAUCCCGACUAUAUUAAGGCAUGGGAGGAUGCAUUAUUUCUGUUGUAUAUAUUCCUGCUUUGUGCUUGAUUGGUUUUUAGUUUUAUUUUUAUAUUAGUGAUAAAUUAGACACGACGGUUUAUAGUUAUCCGUUAGAUUAAGCUUACAGGCUUGAAGGACAGAGACAAUGCGUAAAUUAAACAUAAAUGAAUCGGAUUUAACUGUAAAAGCAGCCCAAAUUCUCACUUUCAUAGAAUAUGGGCAUGGGGCUUGGGGCUUGGGCUUGCGCAAUUAACUUGUCCAGCUCCCAAGUUCUCGUAUCAUCUCCAUCCGGAUGCAGGUAAGAAAAUCUUCUUGACCUGUCGCGACCAAUUUUUCAGGGUGUGAACCACCUAAAAUUUGGCUAAUGGAUUAUUAAGCCUAAACUUAACUUAGCUUCUCCCAAGCCCAUACCAAUUCGCGACUUAGGUUCAAGUUCUUAGCAUGCAAUUGAUUUUUUAAUCAGGAGUUGCCACUAAUCUAUUUUUUUGUGGGUCGAUUAGAAACCCACGUAAAAUAAUGGGAGUUUUACUUUACUCCUACAAACCAGAGACUAUGGGUACGGGGACUUGAUUACAUUAGAUUUCUCUAAUGCCCUUUCGGUACCACUUUUUUUUAAUUUUCAAAAAUGUUUUUUUUUUUUGCAGGCAACUUAAAUUGAUUUUAAAUCUAAUUCCUUAACAUGUGAAAUGAUCAUGUGGAUGCGUAAUUCACCAAUUUAACAUUCAGAUAAACAAUAAAUAAAUUGCAAAAACUUAUCUCAAAGUAACGAAAGCAUCUGUAAUGUUAAAUUAAAAUCCACAUCAACAACCCUAGAUAUGGUUUUUAAUUAACACGCAAUUUUCUUUUUGUUUUCACUUAAUUAAUAAAAAUCACGGAAUAUGCAAUGCAAUAUUAACUAAAUGACCUAAUUCUAAUGACAUGUAAUUUCUAAUUAAAUGGGCCUAGCAAAAAUACUAAAUGACAUUCAUCUUAAUGAAUCUAACCCUAAUGACGUGCAUAUGACAUUUUUUUUCUUUUCCUAAAAGAAUGCAUUUUAUCCUAAAUAAUAAAACUAAUUUCACCUAUGACAUUUUUUGUAUUUUUUUAAUGAAAUUCAAAAUUAGAAAAAUGUGAAAAUUAUCUAAUUAGAUUAAGAUCCUAUUUAAUUAGUAUUAGGAAUUAGGUUGAGCUAAAUCCUAAUUUAAACUAAAAUAUUAUCUUAACCCAAAUAAUCCUAAAGUGCAAUCUAUCUAAUAUCUGAACUUAUAAUAAAUUUUAAGAAAAAUAUUAUCUAGAAUUAAACUAAGUGCAAUUUUACCCUAAUAUGCAAUGACGUACAAAAAGAUGCCCUAACUCUACAUGACAUAUGCAUGACGAUUUUUUUUUUGUAUUUUUUCUAAUGAAAAUUCAGAAUUAAAUCAAUAAAAAUCUAACUGAAGUGAAAUGUUAUCUAUUCUAAAUGCCUUCUCAACAUGCAAAAAUAACUAACCUAUCAUGCAAUCAAUCCUAAUCUACAUGGGAUACAAAAUGCAAUUUUUUUGUAUUUUCGGGAUAAAUAGAGCAAUUAAGAGAUAAACCCCCAAAUCAUCACAAAUGUUAUCCACCAUUCGAAUUGAAAUUCAAAUUUGUUUAUUUCGCUAAUAAAAUCGAUGAAUUGAUCUUAAGCCUUAAAGAUCAAAAUAUCAAUUUUACUCCCGCGUGAAUAAUUAUUCCAUCUAAAGCCUUGUAGAUAGAAUAAAAAUUCGUGCGGUUGCAAAUUGGAUGCUAUAUCAUGGAAUUUCAAUCAUGCAUUGGAAAAUAUUUCAAACAAUGAGAUAAAAUAUCAAAAACCAAAAUAAGAUAAAACAAAUCUACUAAAUAUACCUACCUAAUAAAAUAAAAUAAAUCUCUACCUAAAUUCGAAUGUUUUUCCAAAUCCAAGCGGUGAGGUAGAUCACGAUAGAAGCUCAGCACGGCUAAGGAUAGGGCUCGGCAAGGCCGCGAGGUACGCCAAGGGAACCUGCAAAAACAAAGAACCCACAGCUAGUGUGGUUCAAUGAUCAAUGAAUUCACGGCCUACGAUGGCUCGGCCGUGAUGAGUGUUGCUCGGUGGGACUCCUUGAUUGAGCCACAAAGUCACGAUCUCCUCUCGCUUCAAUUCCACGUGGUCUCUCUUGAGAACUCACAGCCGAUUCUCCAAAUUUCACCCUCAAGGAGAGACAGAUUCCACCGUUUCCCCUUUAGCUUGUCUCUUCCUCUUUUUUUAAUCCUAUUUGAGACAUCAUAACCCAGAAUUCUUCAUGUGGGCGUGCCAGAUGCCUUGGUGCCCUAAUUUUCUCUUACAUUAGGCAUGGGAUGAGAAGUUGGAGGUAGCCACCGAAAAUUAAAUAGAUGAAGAUGCGGGAUGAGGAACACGAGAAACGGUGAUUCAGAUAAACGGCGACUGGAGCUCGGUGGACGUGGUAGAUGGACGCCAGGUACUGCUAAGCUGCGAUGAGGGCUGCUGUUAAGUCAAGAAGCAGCAUUGGACAAGGCCUUGCUGGUGCCGCUAGAAUCUCCGCAACCGUUCUUCCUGGAACGUGUCAGCAAAGAGCAACAACUCGUCAAAAGCCUGCAAAAGAAGAACAGCGGCAGUGGAAGGGCAAGGAUGAGUUGCUGCUCAAGGUGGUAACGUGACGACAGGCAAGCCGACACGAAAGCGAGGGGUGGUGCUGGUGUUGCAGGGGUUCGGUGCAGCGACCAGCGGGCGUUGGGGGCGUCGCGGACUGCUGGACGGCAACGACGUCGAGCUUUCGACACGGGCUGAGGUGCGGCGGCAGGGAGAAUGACGCAACGUCGGGCGCUCGGUCACGGUCGGAGCUCGGACGCGGGCGACGGUGGCGCUGCAAGAGUCCAAGGAAGAAGACAAUCUUCUUCUUUUUUAAAAAAAAAAUUCUCUCUCUUUCUUCUUACGUGUAUCACUCAAAUGAAUUGCCGGACCCCAUGAUUUCUCACUUUUAUUCUCUCUAGCGAGUGUUCUCUCCUAUGGCCGUGUAUCUCCAUUGUGUGGCCCUCUCUCUCAAUCUUUCGGCCUGAUUUUUCAAUUCUUUCUACAUUUAUCAAAAUCUGAAUACUUAUCAGAAUUUCAAACUUU
This 8747-nucleotide long non-coding RNA is filed under the name Eucalyptus grandis. RNAcentral describes it as "long non-coding RNA (EGRA_LNC003376)". Lineage: Eukaryota; Viridiplantae; Streptophyta; Magnoliopsida; Myrtales; Myrtaceae. The record is from RNAcentral.